Molecule: unclassified non-coding RNA, 288 nt
Filed under: Hevea brasiliensis (rubber tree)
Lineage: Eukaryota; Viridiplantae; Streptophyta; Magnoliopsida; Malpighiales; Euphorbiaceae
Source: RNAcentral
UUUCAGUAUGAUGUUACGAUGGAAAAUGUGGAAUCUUUCUUUGCUAAAUUUAGCAAGGUUAAUAGUGUGAGGCUUCCUCGUCAUGUGGCAGACAAAAGGGUUUUUUGUGGCACGGCUUUGAUUGAGUUUUCUACAGAUGCAGAUGUGAAAGAUAUCUUCAAGCAAACUUUAGUUUACGCUGGAGCCAUUUUAGAGUUAAAGCCAAAAAAGGAGUUUGAUUCUGAGAGAGCAAAAUUGACAGAGCAAAUUGGGAAAGACUGCUCAAAUCAUAAGAAUAAUGCCAGCACG